Long non-coding RNA from Panicum hallii, 330 nucleotides. RefSeq lists it as uncharacterized. Lineage: Eukaryota; Viridiplantae; Streptophyta; Magnoliopsida; Poales; Poaceae. The transcript is spliced from 3 exons. The record is from RefSeq and is a predicted model, not a curated record.
GACGCUGAGUGGUGACACCUGGAAAGGCCCGGAUUCACCUGUCCGACGUGGCCCGGAGCGCUGGUGGGCCCCCACUCGCUGACAUGGCAUGCAAUUCCUGGCUACCAUUGCCUCUCGAGCUUUCAGGGUGCAUGCAGAAGCCCAGGAGCCAUCAGCCAAGGACACAACAAAACUCAUGUUGUUCCUGCCAAUUAUAAACACGGGCAGAGAAGAGGGACAUAGCAGGCUAACUGUCGCAAAAGUAAAAGCGGCAGCUUUUCAGGAGACAAAGUUUUGAUUGGCAGAUGGAGCAAGUGCGGCCGCCCAUCAUCCAAUGACUUGGGCCGGAGU